This 253-nucleotide ribosomal RNA is filed under the name uncultured bacterium. RNAcentral's name for it is "partial 16S ribosomal RNA". It matches the Rfam family "Bacterial small subunit ribosomal RNA", at positions 524 to 776 of the family's 1533-position model. The record is from RNAcentral.
AACGUAGGAGACAAACGUUAUCCGGAGUUACUGGGCGUAAAGGGCGUGUAGGUGGUUGCGUAAGUCUGGCGUGAAAUAUCUCGGCUUAACCGAGGUAGGUCGUCGGAUACUGCGUAACUGGAGGACGGUAGAGGCGUGUGGAAUUCCGGGUGUAGUGGUGAAAUGCGUAGAGAUCCGGAGGAACACCAGUGGCGAAGGCGACACGCUGGGCCGUACCUGACACUGAUGCGCGACAGCAUGGGGAGCAAACAGG